RNAcentral lists this long non-coding RNA (489 nucleotides) under Heterocephalus glaber (naked mole-rat). Its description in RNAcentral is "lncRNA (ENSHGLG00100046905.1)". Lineage: Eukaryota; Metazoa; Chordata; Mammalia; Rodentia; Bathyergidae. The record is from RNAcentral.
CUCUCUCAGCAACUUGGGUAUCAGCUUGAGAAGGCUGACGUGGCCAGGCAAGCCUGUUCUGCUGCUGCUCCCUCCAUGGAGCCCUCUCGGCACCACCCCUCCUUCCUCCUCACCCCUUGUGCCUGUCUAUCUGCCUCACAUUUAUUUAUCUUUUCCUUUUUCCUAUAGUAUGCUCCUCUCACCAUAACCACAUGAGAUAAGAUUCUGGAGAUCUGGCAGUGAGAAUCAAAGGCAGAAGGAAAGUGAAAGAAGCUACUGCCAUUUUUACGGUCAAGGCUGCAAGACCUGAAGCUCCCUUGGCAGCUCAGGAUCCCAAACAACCUGCAGAUCUCUGGAGAAAGCAACCGCAUGGGAGAGGUGGAGGCUCACAGACCAGAUGGAAGAGGACAAACCUGGCCAGAGGAGAGCCCUUGCUAUCUCCCUUCAUGGUUCUGGUUAAGGACUGCAUCUCUUUAGAGGGACGGGCCACCAGCUCAGAGCACCAUGUGC